GUGAUCUUAAAAAAUAAAAUUAGUGCAGAUUAAUUUUAGUAAAUAAUUUUUGGGUUCUGUAAUAUAAUGUCAACUAAGAACCAAAAAUAUAUUAAAUGGAAAAUCCUGUGUUUACAUGAGAGAAUAUUUUAGCAUGCAGAAGCCCUGGGAGGUCAGAAGAUUUAUAGACAGUUGUGACCCACUACAGAGUUCUGGAAACAGAAGUGCAACAAGUGCUCUAAACUGCAGCCACUUCUCCAGCAGCCAAUCCAUAAACUUUAAACUGCACACUGCUCUCUUAAGUAGCAUGAUUAAACCGUUCACUCUGUAGUACCUGGGGCCUGACUUCCUUGUCCAGUGAGUCCAUGCUUUAAGUAUACAGGAUGCUCAUCAGCAAUACACCACAGCCACCAUACUUUUCACAUGCCUUAGUACCUCACUUCUUCUGAAGAAUAUAGGCACUGUCAUCCCCCAAUAUACCACUCAGUACAUGCAGUAAGGUAUUUUGAGAUCAUCUGAUAUCUUAUGUAACUACUAUAGAAUAGCUACCAUUUUAUUACUGCUUUAUGAAAUUAUUAGUUAUCUUCACCUUUACUUAACAUAACACUUUACCACCGCCAUGGAUACACAGGGAAAAUAAAUCUAUGUAUGUCUAUGAAGUCUGAGGAUCAGGCCACUGAUUACCCAAGACGGGAGGGAGGGAAGGAAGGAGGGAGGGAGGUAUGUGUGUGUGUUGCUAGUUUUUAUUGUCAAGUUGGCACACAGAGUCACCUGAGAAGAGGGAAUGUCAAUUAAAAGAACUGCCUAGAUCAGAUUCCUCUGUGGGUAUAGAUAUGGAACACUGUCUGGACUGCUAAUAGAUGUAGGAGCCCAUUGUGAACAAGACAACUUCCAAGCAGAUUAAGUUAUCUUUGACUGUUUGAGAAAGCACGCCAGUGAGCAAUUUUCCUCUAUGGUGCCUGCCCUGACUUCCCUCAAUGAUAUAUUAUUACCUAGAAGUGUAAACCUAAAUAAAUGCUUUCUGCUCCAGAGUGUGUAGUUAAGUGUUUUAUCAUAGCAGUAGACUACACUAUGGCAGAGCUGGUGUCCACAGCUUUAACUGUGCUUUGUUUGCUUGGGUAGGAGAGUGGUCACAUGUACACAGAGAACCUGUGAAUCUAUCUCCUUCUACCAUGUGAGCUCUGGGAAACGGAAUUCAGGCUGUCAAGCUUGGUUGCAGGCACCUUUGCCUGCUGAGUCAUCUAGUCAGCCUUGUACAUGUUUUAAAUGUUAAAAGAUUAAAUUGUUGGGUCAAACAGUAGAAAUAUCCUUUCCAUCUUAAGAACCAGUGGAUCCUGCCCUCUCUGCCUAUCAUUGGAACAACUUCAAACGAAAAGCUGUAAGAGUGGUUUUACAACCUCACCCCACAAGACAAAAGUGCUCAUUCCAUCCACAUGAUAAAAGCCCACACCCGACUGUGCAUUGUGGACAACUGCUAAGUGAAACUGUUUCUUACCUGAGAAAGAGUCGCAUCUGCACAUGCUUUACGGGCAUCCUAUGAAGUAACAAACGGGAAUUAGUUGUGCUCCACACUUUCAAUCUCAGGACGCCUCACAAACUGCCUUCUUCCUUACCUCUUCUCUAAUACUCUCAAGUCCACUGCCACUUUUUAGUUGUUCAGGCCAAAAUAGAUACAACUCACAAUCCCCAAACCUAACUGAGACAUGCAAGACUCCACAGAACUCUGGGGACUCUAGGCAGGCCCAGGAGAAACCACACUGGAAGUUGGUAGAGCAGUGAGCAGCCUGAAAGCGAAGGCUAACUUCCCACAGCCAGCACACACCUGCUCUGUCUUUUCCCCAGUUUACAUCAGAGCACAAGGGGUUGCAAGAAACAGGCUGAAAAACAACUAGCUUUUGAGGCCAAAACCUUCUCUUUGAGAAUGCAUUAUGCAAGGACUUUAUUUUUAAGCCAAACAAUGAGUAAAUCUAAGUUCUAUGAAUAGAACAGGGAUUUAAAAUUGUUAAUAAAAUUUCAAUGAGACUGGUAACAAAAUAGCAGUCUUUUAUAUCUAUGAAACAUACCAAUAUAGCUAAGACCUACAAAAGGAUAUACCAUGGUAAUUUUUCUUUAGUUUUUACCAUAUUAAUUAAAGUGCUUUCACUUAUAAAUAAAAUAAACAUUGACAUCUCAAAAUUGCACAUAUUGUUAAAUAUAAAGAUAUCCAUUAGGAAGGAAAAUGAGACAACUCCAACUCCACUUUUUUUUUUUUUUUUUGGUUCUUUUUUUUUUUUUUUCGGAGCUGGGGACCGAACCCUGGGCCUUGCGCUUCCUAGGUAAGCGCUCUACCACUGAGCUAAAUCCCCAGCCCCGACAACUCUUUUAAAAGGUAAAAUUUUCAAUACAGGCAUAAUUUAAAGGAACUCCUGACAAUCUUGAGCAAGAAACUGAUCGCCUGCUUUCUUUUUUUUUUUUAAAGACUUAUUAUAUUUAUUAUAUAGAAGUACACUGUAGCUGUCUUCAGACACACCAGAAGAAGGCAUCAGAUCUCAUUACAGAUGGUUGUGAGCCACCAUGUGGUUGCUGAGAUUUGAACUCAGGACCUCUGGAAGAGCAGUCAGUGUUCUUCACCACUGAGCCAUCUCUCCAGCCUGAUCGCCUGCUUCCAAAGCGGCAGCUGGCACUAGGCCAGAGUCUUCAAAUGAAGUAGAACAUUCCCAGAUCAAUGAUCUACAACCAACUCCCUCACAGAGCAGGAUUCUUACUUUAUUGAGUCUGUGUGAAUAUCACAAGCUGAUGGCAAGGAAAAUAUACUGAGAUGACCACUACUAUAAGAACAGAAGAAACUUCUAGGUUCCAAAUUCAUCAUUAAUGAAUUUGCUUAUAAUCAAAACAAGUAAUUAUGUACCCAACUAUGUCUACAUAAAAUCUGAGUACAGUGCACAGCGAUGAUUUAGAAGAGCAAAUCGUUGUCAAGGACCUCUUCUCAUGGCAGUAAGUCUAGUGCUUCUAACAAUGUGCUUGUUGAUAUGCAUUAACCUAUAAAGCUAUACAGUAUACCUUUGGGUUUGAAAGAGCAAAAUUUUAUUAAUAAAAAAUGGUAUUUAAGCAGCUUCCUCUUGGUUGGUACCUAAAGACCAAAAUGGUUGAAUAUUUCUGACACUGCGACUACUAACAGAAGAAAAACAAUCACAUCCAGCCAUCUUUGCCUUGGUCACUAGUGGUUGAAAACAGCAGCUCUGACAUUGCUUAAGUGAACACACGUAAUUUACAGAGAGGACAACUUGUGCUAGCCAAUUUUCUCCUUCUACCACGUGAAUCUUAAAACUGAACUCAAGCCAUAGCAAGUUGAUGAGCUGCCUUGCUGGCCUCCCCAAGUGACAGGAUUAAAGAAGUGUGCCACCAUGCCCAGUCAUAAUAAUUUCCUUCCUUCCCUUUUUUCAGACAGGGUUUCUCCAUGUAGCCCAGGCUGGCCCCAAACUCUGCCUCUGCCUCUGAUUUGUCUGCCUCUGCCUCCACAGUGCUGGGAUUAAAAGCCCUCACCUGGCUUUACAGUGAUUUCUUAACGGAUUCAUGUAGACUAAUCCAUUCAAUCAAUCAGUCACUUUUCUGUCCUGUUUGGAUUUGAGUACAAAAACAUCACCACAGAAGAGGCUAACCCAUCUCUUAUGCCAUCUCACACUAAAUUGAGAAGUCUGGGCCCAGCUCAGCUCUGGGUCACUACAUUUUGUACCAUGUGUACAAUGCAACUGGUCACAGUAAGGUAAGUUCCUCUGUAUUUAAGGCAUGUGUAUUUUAAUUAAACAUCUGUUUGACAGCCUGUUUCCUUAAGUUCAACAAAACAAUGAUAGCUUCUUUUUUUUGUUGGUUUGUUUUUCCUUUGUUUUUUCCAGAGGCAGUUUACAUAAAAAACAAAUCAAAGACCAGACAAUACUUCUUUUUACAAUUAACUGCCAUUUCUUGUGUGAUUCACUAUGUAGUCAAACUGAUCUUAAAUUUACUAUGUAUCUAAGGAUGACCUUGAACUCCUGAUCCUCCUGCUUCCACCCCCUAUAAUACACACACACACACCCACAUACACACCCCUACCUGGAAGCUUUUUGAUUUUUAAUAAUUUAAAAAAUAUUAAGAGUAUAGGUGGUGACGACACACACCUUUUAUUCCAGUACACAAGAGGCAGAGGAAAGUGGAUCUCUGAGUUUGAAAUCUCAGUCUGGUCUAUAGAGCAAGUUCCAAGACAGUUAGGGAUACAGAGAAAAACCCUGUGUUGGUGGCAGUCGGGGGACAAGGGAGAAGCAAACACACACACAAAUGCUUUAUUGGUAAAAAUCCAAACAAACAAACAAACAAUCCCAAGAGUGUGAUUGAUGCAUAUCAGUAUAUAUGCUACAGAGUAUGGAGACCAUGGGACAAUGUAGAGACAGUAUUCUCCUUCCACCUCAACAAGGACUCCAGGGAUGCAUCUCAGGUUUUCAGGUUCACACUGUUGGGUGGCAACACAUUUAUUUGAUGAAUUAUCCUAUCUGCUCUGUUUCUAAUUCUGUGUUUGUUUUGAGAUAAGGUCUCUAUAUUACCCUGUCAGUCUUGGAACUUGUUUUGUAGAUCAGGCUGACCUAGAACUCAAGACAUCCACUUAACUUAACCUCCUGACUGCUAAGAUUAAAAGUAUGUGCUACCACAGCCAACCUCUUCCUUUGAUUUUAAGGGAGGCUCUUGUUUUGUAGUGCAGGUUGGCCUGCAAAGUGAAGACAAUCCUACUGUCCCCAGUACUUCCAUGCACGCCAAGCUUCACCACACUAGCAUGCUGGGUACAUCCUGCUAGGAAGGCAUCAGACGACUGAAUUAUGCUUCCAUCCCUUGUACUAAAUUCUUUAGCACGUAGUCAGUAGACAAGUGAUAAAAAACAUUAUACUUUUUUUUCCCUCCCUUAUAUCAUGCCCUUAAAAGAAAGGUUUUUUGCUUUUUAUUUUUAAAUUUAUGUGUAUGCAGGUACUCAUGAAAACCAAAAGACAGUGCUGGAUUCUCUGGAGAUAGGCAAUGCUGGGAUUAAACUUAACCACUUAAGUAUCUCUCUAACCCCAGAUUUUUACUUUUUUAAAGAUUAUUCCUUGCCAGGUAAGGUAGCACACAGCUUUACUCUCCAAAGUAAACUUGGGAGGCAGAGGCAGGGAGUUUGAGGCCAGUAGUCUACAUAUCAAGUUGCAGGGCGGCCAAAGCUACACAAUGAGACCAUGUCUCAAAAACAAACAAAAGUCUUCCCUUCCCAUUUAGAGACUCAAUGGCUUUCACUUCUCCUCACCAACCCACUCUAAAAUUAGUGCAGUGCUGAGAGGCAAGGCAGUCUGAGAGGCAAGGAGAAUGAUGCUCAUCAUGAGGGUUGAAACAGUGGCUCUACAAGGAAUGGUCAAAAUGGUGCUGUCCACACAAGGAUUGGUCAAAAUGGUGCUGUCAGUAGUUGGGCCAUCAACUACUCUGCGCAUGUCAGACACAGUUGAGAGUGAACUGAAGAAUGUCCUUAUAGGGAGGCAUGAGCUGAACUUUAAACCAAAACAAAACUGAAAUAUUGACACAACUGACAAGAUAAAGACAUGUGAACUGUUGUAACAGCCUAGUGAGACUCUAAAGGACAGACAGCUACAUCCUUACAGACAAGAACAUGAAAACCAGAGGAAGCUAUUUCAAAUAUGCAAAGCCUUAUGCAAACUGAAAACUGAAAACUGGGAUUUUCUUGCCUAAUGUCCCUGCUCUUCAGAGUGGAUGCUCCCAUCUGACAACGACCUACAGGAGCCACAAAGAGGGUCCCAAACCUAGUUCCCUGGGGGAAGAAGUCCAAAAGCUUUGAUAGAGUUUACAGAAACACACCAUGCACAUUCGAGCAACAAAUUACAGUUAGUAAGAAAACAAAAUUUCUGAAACAACAUAAUACACUUUAUCUGGACACAUAACUAGCACAUACUACACCAAUCUCAUCUCAUUCUGUUAUCCAUACAACAGGUAUGUUUCUGAUGUGAAACGUAUCAAACACACGCGUGGCUACAUACUCUAAUUUGGUUCUUCAGUUGCUCGGCCUCCUGCCGCAGCUGGUCAAGUUCACUCAUCUUCACGUCUCAGUGCUUUCCACACUUCAGAAUCCAAGCUCUGCAACAGAAACAUGCCGUGAAAUGCGUAAGCUAUGGUAUGACUGGUUAACUGAAAACCUCACAGCAAUAACCUCAUAAAGCAGAGAACUUUCCUGCAGCAUUCAUAAUAACUAUUGAAACCCUAUCUAGAACUGGAUUAAAAACACAAUUCUCAUUUUUUAAAGAUUUAUUUAUUUUAUGUAUAUAAGUACACUGUAAGCCACACCAGAAGAGGACAUCGGAUCCUGUUACAGAUCAUUGUGAGCCACCAUGUGGUUGCUGGGAUUUGAACUCAGGACCUCUGGAAGAGCAGCCAGUGCUCUUAACCACUGAGCCAUCUCUCCAGCCCCCACAAUCCUCAUUUUUAUUAACUGUACUAAUACACUGCUGAAAAUAAUGUGGUGGACUGAGAAAAUUAAUGUCAGUCGCAGUGGUGCAUCCCAGGACUUAGGUAGCUGAAGAAGGAAGAUCUAAUUUCAAUGCCAAUCUGUACCAGAGAUCCAUUCUCCAAUUGAUCAAUCGAUCAAUCAAUCAAUCAAUCAAUAUUAAAACAGCACAAAUCUUUCUCAUGAAAAGAUUCUGAGUCUCUCAGAAAUCAACAACAACAACAACCGUAGAUAUCCAGAAUAGCUACCACACAGAGAAACCAGGAGUAAUUUCCUUUAGAAAUGGGACUGAGGCAAUCUGGAAAACUAGUACUUUGAAGCUAUAGCCAUUAUCAUGAGCUAUAAAGGACAAAGGGACAUUCAAAAGUCUUCUAUUUCCCCCGCAAACCCUAGGCUGAGGAGUCCCAGAAAGCUCAGAAAUACCCUGACCCUUCUAGAAUUGGGCUGAAUAAGGCUAGUCAAAGUGCUGAAUACUCACACCUAGUCAUAGUCAAAGACAAUGGAGAUCAUCCUGUUAUAAAAAUGACUUUUCCAAUGGAGUAUGCAGAAGUUCAGCUUACCUAACAUGCAUGAAGCUCUGGAUUUAAGUCCAGCCCCAAGACAAAUGGGGUAUGGUGGUGUGUAUGUCUAUAAUCCCAGCACUUGAGAAAUAACCAAGAGGAUUAGAGUCUUUUAAGGUCAUCCUUGGCUAUAUAACUUGAGGCCAGCCUGAGAUAUGACUGUUUCAAAACUAAAUAAGCAAACCUGACUUCCUGGGUUGGAGAUAUAGUUCAAUUAGUAGAGUGCUUACCUACAGUGUAUGAAUUCCCACAUGUGGAGAUGCUAACCUAUAAUUCCACUUAGGAGGUGGAAGCAAGAAGUUCACUGUCAUCUUCAGCUACACAGUAGUUUGAGGCCAGUCUGUGCUUGGUGAGACACUGCCUCAAACAAUAAAAUACCUCAGAAUAUGGAAUAUGCCUUUAAUAUGACCUAGCAGUUAAGAGGCAGAAAAGAGAGGAUCUGAAUUCAAGGCCAAUCUGACCUACAUAUCCAGUUCCAGUACAGCCAAUGCUACAUAGAGACCCUGUCUCAAAAAAUCCAAAUCAAAAUAAAACAAAACAAAAAAAAAAGACUUCAUUUCCCCAGAGGAAGUUAUAAAUAGACAUACCGGGGGUUGGGGAUUUAGCUCAGUGGUACAGCGCUUGCCUAGCAAGCGCAAGGCCCUGGGUUCGGUCCUCAGCUCCGAAAAAAAAAAAAAACAUAGCUAAAAUAAAUAGACAUACCUGUGUACCUUCCUGUGUUGGUCUUGAACUAAUAAGCAAAUCUCCUGUCUCAGACUCCCAAGUGGUAGAAGAAUAGGUGUCAUCUACCACUGUACCUGGGGCACACAGGCUACACUUCUGACAAAGAUAUUGGUUAUUAAGCCAAUCACAAAUGCGAUUAAAACACCAUAAAAUUGAAGAUGAAAUUGCUUAAUACCAAUGUAGUAGUUUAUGCAAGAACCUUAAUUCCCCAUGCAAAUUACACAAAAUAUGAGUGUUUUGACUACUGGUAUGUGUGUGUAUAUGUAUGCACACACACAUACACAUUCAUAUACACACAUAACCAUACAUACACACAUACACACACACAUAUAUCCAUACAUACACACAUAUAUACACACAUACACACACACACACACACACACACACACACACACACACACACACACACACACACACAGUGAAUGCCUAAUUUCAGUCAUAUGGUUUGUGAGCUGCCAUGUAGGCACUAGGAAUGAAACUAGGGUCCUCUGGAAGAGCACCAAGUACAUUUAGCUACUGAGUCAUCUCUUCAGCCCUCCCCACAAUCAACAAAACUGUGUAAUACCUAAAGAGGUACAAGAUGGUGGGGAGUGAGGCAGAUACACAUGGAUGCUUGGGUUCAAUGGCCAGUUAAUUUAGUUGAAAUGAAAACCUCUAGGUAAUGCUGCUAUCCUUUAAUAUAGUUCCUCACGUUGUGACUCCCAACUAUAAAAUUAUUUGUGUUGCUACUUCAUGACUAUAAUUUUGCCUCUGUAUGAACCGUAAUAUAAAUAUCUGCUUUCCAAUGGUCUUAGGCCACCUCUGUGAAAUAGUCAUUCGAUCCCAAAAGGAUCAUGACUCACAGGUUGAGAACCACUGCUCUAGGUUCAGUAAGACCUUGUGUUGACAAGUGAGGUCAAUUAAUAAAAUAAGAUACCACGAUCAGCAUGCAUACAUACAUACAUACAUACAUACAUACAUACAUACAUACAUGAGCAUACCUGAAUAAACACAGAAAUUCACAGACUUUAUAAUUAAAAAACUUGGGUAUGAUAGCAUAUUCAUAAUCUCAGAAUUUGGAAGAUAGAGAGGCAGAAAGACUCCUUUUGGAAAUAUAGUGGGCUCCAGGCACCCAGGAUUGUGUACUAAGAUCCUGUCAACUCUUUGUCAAAAGUCAAAGUUAAAAAUAUCAAAUGCUAAACUAACUAAUAUUAUUUUCUUUUCCUUGCACCCUCCCCCAAAAGAAGGUUAUUUUGUGUAGCCCUGGCUGUUCUGGAACUUGCUUUGAAGACUAGGCUGGCUUCAAACUGAGAUCUGCCUUCCUCUGCCUCCCGAGUCCUGAGAUCACUGUUAUUUUCAUUAAGAGUAAAACACAUCUAUAGUAAAUCAUCUGAAUGACCCCAAAACUGUUAUAGUUCCUUAUAUUUUUCUAUUCUGCAAUUCUACAUAUAGGCUCCUGGUAACAAAAUCCCUUCCAACUAAGUGCCUCUGUUGCUGGCAAGACAAAGAAAAGGGUGAAUUCAUUAAGAACUUAACAUGGGGGGGGGGGUCAGGAGGGGAACAAUAUGGGCAACCAAGAAAGGACUACAAGGUAAAGCUGUGCACUGAAGGAGAGGCUUCCACGUUCCUAGACCAGCACCUACCUGUUCUUGCUGCUUACUUGAAAAGCAGGGUAUGCAGCAACAUGGCUUUUAAAAGAUUGCUGACCACAAUGGUAGUCUCAUUUUCUGUUGAUGGUGCUCCUUACCUUGCUUGUCUUUUUUUAAAAUAAAGAUUUAUGUACUUAUGUAUUUAUAUAUUUAUGUUUUAUAUGUUGAGUGUCUGUCUGUAGGUACAGCUACAUGCCAGAAGAGGGCAUCAGAUCCCACCCGGUAUAGAUGGUUGUGAGCCACUAUGCAGUUGCUGGGAAUUGAACUCAGGGCCUCUGGAAGAGUGCUGAGCCAUCUCUCCAGUCCUGUUCUUGUCUUUCUUAAGACAGCAUCUUGCUAGUCUAUUAUGUACUAAAGCUUCCCUUGUCACCCACUCUGACCUUACUCUACUUCCCCAGUGCUAGUAUUACAGGUGUGUCCCACCAUGUCUGGUUUCUUGAGUGGAUGCUUGAUUCAUUAGGUAAGCUUCAACAAGGGAGAUACCUCAGGCCUCCCUGACAUCUCUGGCAUUAAAGAACAUUAUUUACUUUUGCAGAAGACUGAGUCAUUCUGUCUUUAGCACACAAAACCUAAGGACUACAAUUUAGGAGUAUUUUAUUCCUACAUGGCAGAAUAAAAUCCCAAAAGAAUAAAAACACAGAUGGAAAGAAGUACUGCCAUUUUGUCUUGCAUGGGCUUGCUUGCUUUACCUUACAAAGGGUCCAAGUGGAAAUCCUCACUGGCGUUACAGGAUCAUCACCCUUCAGCAUGCUUUCCCUUACUGAAAGUAACUCUGGCUAUAAAGGCCUUCUGCCCAAUCCAGUAUUAAUGUAAAAAAAAGUAGCAACCAAAGUCAUGAGGUACCCGAAUUAGUCUAGUCAACAAGUAGCAGUUGACCAGGACAUAAACACUAAAGCUUUUAUAUCAUGAGACUGAAAACAACAGUGCUGAAACAGUGCUUUAUAAACAGGGGAUCUUUCUGAGCUGCUUCAAAAACUCCGCAGGCAUGGCAGUCACCAAACCACAGACAUCUCGAUAGCCCAUUGGCUCUAUUCCUCUCUAGGUUUCUGGUAAAUCCAUUUUUCUACUUUUUAAGCAAUAUAGCUGGAUAACUGUCACGUAUUUUUCCUGUAGCAUAUAAAGAAAGAAUCCAAUUAAAAGAAAGAUUUUUGGGCUCUGUGGUUCAAGUCCUUUGCUGUGCAAGCCUGAAGCCCGAGAACCUACGCACGUAAAGUUGGGAGGAGAAAACUGCUCCUAAGUAAUUUUCUGCCUCUUACAGCAUGAUUUUUUUAAACGAUUUUUUUGUUUGUUUUUGUUUUUUCGAGACAGGCUUUCUCUGUGUAGCCCUGGUUAUUCUGAAACUUGCUCUAUAGACCAGGCUAGCCUAGUGUGCUACCACCGCUGGGCAGUGGUAGUAAUUUUUUUCUAACUUUUUAUCUAUUUAAUUGUGUAUGGGUAUGUACCACAACACAUAUACCAAGGACAAAACAAGAGGACCUACAAGAGCUGGUUCUCUCCUGCCAUGGUACUUUUACCACCAUUGGUAGCUGCUCUCCCACUAUUGCCUUCUCACAGUCUGAGGGAAGUGCAGCACACAACUGAAGAGUCUGUAGUAAUGCUAUCAACACAACUUCAGUAAUGAAAAACAAAUUAUAUUUAUCAAGUCUUACUUACGUUUAGUCACCUUUGCCUUUCUCUUUAGUGUUGCUAGUCCUUUGGUCCUUCUGGAAACCCCACCAUCAGGUCUGCCUGCCUGGCCAGCUCUUCUCCUCCAGAGCAUGUCCCAGGUAAGCUCUGCCUGUGCUGAGACAGCACUUUCUAGUCUAAUCCACUAAGACCAUCAGGACCUGCUGAGGCCUCAUGACUGCCCAUGACCCACAUCUGCUUUCAGCUUUAAAUUAGAAUUGCUAUAGGAAAUUUAAAUAAUUGAAGAGCAUGAGGCUAAAGAUGUGACAAACGGGUCGAUGUGAUCGAUCUACAAGUAGCAUGCUCUUCUAACUUUAAAUAAAAUGUUAGCAUGAUUAGAACAGUUCACAUAAGUGGUAUGAGGUAUAAAGUCCCCAACUUUGUGACAAAGGCAGUAGCACCAGAGUGCUCCUCUGAUCAAGACCCUGUGAAGGAGUCAUGUCAAGACACAACAGUGACCUCAGGUCCCCAUUAUCACAUAGUUGCUAACAAUGAUACCUGGGCUGCAAGCCUGACACUGAUGAAAAGAUAUCUGCCAUCAACCUGAGAGCCUGGUUUUGACUGUCCAAGAGAAUUAACUCCUUCAAACUGUCCUCUGACUUCUAUGUGUGCAUGCACACUCAAAAACCCUGUAAUUUAAAAUUUAAUGGUGCACACUUUGAAAAAUAAUUUCAAUUUCUCCAACAUACGAAUAGAACCUCACUAAAUCACUUUUAACUCUGGUUUGAGAACAACAUCAGCUGUGAAGCUGGGCAGUGGUAGUACAUGCCUUUAACCUGAAACCCUGCCUUGGAAAAUAAAGAAACAAACAAACGCGGUUGGGGAUUUAGCUCAGCCUAGCAAGCGCAAGGCCCUGGGUUCGGUCCCCAGCUCCGAAAAAAAGAAAAAAGAGGAAAAAAAAAAAAAAAAAAGAAAGAAAAGAAACAAACAUCUAUCUCACAGAGCAAAAACAAAAAUUAAGUGAGAUAAUCAGUCUGGUAUGCCCCCAUCCCAUAAGCCUCUCAAUGAUUAUACUACUUUAGUGUCCUCUUCACCAGAACAAAUCCAAGGUUAAUGACCAACAUUUGAGAAGUCACAUUGACAACACUACUGUCUGUCCUUGUUUGAGAUGGCAUUUUCUUUUCUUCCUUUUUUUUUCCCCCUUGAGACAGGGUCUCACUGUGUAGCUCUAGAUAUCCUGGAACUUUCUUUCUGUAGACCAGGCUAGCCUAUAGCCUAAAGAACUCAGAUAUCUGCCUGCCUCUGCCUCCCAAGUUCUUGGACUAAAGGUGUGUACCAGCCACUACCACCCAGUUUUCAGAUGCUAUUUCCAAUGACAAGAAUUUCUAGGGGGUUGGGGAUUUAGCUUAGUGGUAGAGCGCUUGCCUAGCAAGCGUAAGGCCCUGGGUUCGGUCCCCAGCUCCGGGGGGGGGGGGGGGGAAUUUCUAAAAGAUUUAAAGUUAUGAUUGUGGCUGGGAAUAGUUGGUUAAAUCAAUGCCUUUGAUCCCAGUACUCGGAGGCAAAAGUAGGUAGACCUCUGUGAAUCUAAGGCCAGUCUGGUCUAGAUAUUGAGUUUCAGACUAAGCAUGACUGCACAACGAGAAACUGUUUUAACAUGAAAGGGAGGGAGGGAGGGAGAAGGAAAGUAGGAGAUUAGACCGACUAUAAAGCCAAACCCAAGCAAACAGCAUAGCUGAGUUGCUGCAUAAGAAACAACUGCCCGAGCAGUGUGAAGAAGCAGAGAGGACCAAACCCAUGUGCUGCUGUAUACCCAUGUUUGGCGUCAAUGUCCCCUGCCACCACCAUACCCAAAAGAAAGGCUGGAAGGGACUAGCCACAGAGAAGAUCUGUAUGGUGGUCUGCUAAACCUGAGCCUCCAAGCCUAAAACGGCCCCUGAAGAGAAGGCAGAAAAGGGAGAGAAGGUGACAAAGGGGAAAGCUGAGGCAGUGAAGAUGUGACUAAUCCUCCAGCGAAUGGAGAUGCUCACACUGACCAGGCACAGAAAGCUGAAGGUGCUAGAGACACCAAGGGACGUGUGUGCAGUUUUGUUAACUGUGUACUCCUGGUGACUGUACAGCUGGAAAAUACUAUUUAUCAAGUUUUAUAAAAAAGCAGAAUUUCAUUGGGGGGGGGGGUGUGUGUGUGUCCUGUGUCACUAACGAAAUAUCACCCAAACUGGAUGGAGGACAGAAAACUCUUUCCUUGAUAAUUUUGAAAGGCUCCUGUUGGCUUCCAGGAGAGACAUCCUGAUCUUGCAUAGGUGGCCACCGACGUACAAAAUGCCUUGUGGUCUAGGGAAAACUCUAAAUCCAUUUUUAUAUCCUGUUUCCCCUGUACCAUCAACAUAGACUUAAUUCCCUUAAAACCAGAGACCUGCUGGAACCUGACUCCCAAAAUUGGUUUUCUAGUCUACUGGGUGAUGUGGACUCUGCAGUGACUUCUUCAGUGUCCUCAGAAGAGCACUGGUUCUGUUUAUAAAAGAUAGUGGAUCUUCAGAUUGAUAAUUCUGCCAUGAUCAUUUCCUGAACGUCAGGGUCAGCGUGUGAAAAGUUGUCAAAUACUAUCCUCAGUGUGAAAUGUCAACCCUCACUCUAAGCUACUUUCCCCCUUUCUAAGCACUGAAUGAAGAUUUGAGUUUUUACAUGUAUGUAUGUAUGUAUGUAUGUAUGUAUGUAUGUAUCCAACAUUUUACGAUUUUAUGUUUAAAGGAACAAAGUAUUUAAAAGAGUCUCUUCAAAACAAGCAAAAGCUAGAGAAAUGGAGAAAUGGAUAGGGACAUAUAUAAGAAGACCAGCUAUGAGCUACUGUUGAUUUUAUUUGCUGAUAGUUCUCCAAAUAACUUUUUAAAUUCGGUAAGGUGGGACACACUUCUAAUCUCAGCACUCAAAAAGCUAAAGCGGGCUGGAGAAAUGGCUUAGCAGUUAAGAGCACCCGACUGCUCUUCCAGAGGUCCUGAGUUCAAUUCCCAGCAACCACAUGAUGGCUUACAACCAUCUGUAAAGAGAUCCGAUGCCCUCUUCUGGUGUGUCUGAAGACAGCUACAGUGUACUCAUAUAUAAUAAAUGAAUAAAUAAAUCUUUAAAAAAAAAAAAAGCUAAAGCAAGAGGACUUGAGAACUGCAUCAGCCUGGGCUAUAUAUUAAUGUCUUGUUUCAAACUUCUUUCCUACCACCCCACCCACCCCCAAAUUAUCUGUGGACUUUGAAUCUUGAUUCUUGACUGAAAAUUCAAUUGUAAGAAAGCAAAACAAACAAACAAACAGAAAAUAAAUUCAGCUGUAUAGUCUUUUUCAGAAGGGAAAAAAAUUAGACAGAAGAAAACUAUUGUUUUCCCGCUAGAUAUCCUAACAGAUUUGAACUCCUCACUUGUUACUUACAGCGGGGGGGGGGGGGGGGGGGGGGUGGGUGGUAAAGCCAGAUUUGGGGAUUUGCUUUAAAACAACUUCAAGAAAGUAAAGGAUCAGGAAAGAGAAAAAAGGUGAUUAGCUAUAACUCAGAAUUCUGUAAAUGUAAACUGGGAGAUCAUGUAAUAUGUUCUGUAUGCUUAAAUUAUGUCUUUAUUUUAAUUAUUAUUUUUGAUAUUUUAAAGACAAAGUUUUUAAAAUUUUUUUUUAUUUAUAGCUGUCUUCAGAUACACCAGAAGAGGGCAUCAGAUCUCUUUACAGAUGGUUGUGAGCCACCAUGUGGUUGCUGGGAAUUGAACUCAUGACCUCUGGAAGAGCAGUCGGAUGCUCUUAACCGCUGAGCCAUCUCUCCAGCCCUUAAAGACAAAGUUUUAUGUAGCCCAAUUGGUUUCAAACUCAUUAGGCAGCUAAGGAUUACCUCAAACUACCCCAGCGCUCCUAAUUUGUAAGUUUUUUUAAGUCAGUAUUUUAGCAUUGUUUGACGUGCAUUAAAUUUAUAAUGCAAAUAGACCAAUGUAUCUUAAAAAAAAAAUCUCCAAUUUUAUAAUAAAGUUCUAAAGGACACGAAGCUUGCUGUGCCAACACCUUUUUGUUCCAAUCGAACUGGAGCACACAGCCACGUCUGGUUAGUUUCAUUCAGCCUGGUGCAAUCUCAGUACUUCCCCAAAUUUGUUUAAACAUCUAAAUGGCAGAUCUUGGGGCCUAUAUAUCCAUGUUUCAGAAGUGACAAAAAAAACAAAACAAACAAACAAAAAAAAACCCUAAUAUUCAGGAAUGUUCUUUUAAUUCUCUCAAACUUCUGUUUCUUUUACUACCCCACCCUACUCCCCAAAACACAAUUUGUUUAGCAUCUUGGCUUGCUGCCCACUCCCUCUCUCUACUUUCUCACAGUACAUGAAGGCCAUGGCCAUGGCCAGGUAUCAGCAUGACUUGAAAAGUGGGUAAAAGAAAGUUGUAUGUAUAUAGCACAUGAUUUGACUAAAACAGUGAAAGCUUAACCCUAAACACUCUGUCCUAGGUAUGAUCCUCUGGAAAUUCACCUGAAAUCAAAUGGAAGUGACAACAUGCCGUCUCUGAAGGGAAGGGAGCAGUGCAACCUGUGCUUAGUAACAAAGAUACCUUUUACGGACACAACUGGCUUUUCACCAAACAGCAUGAAAAGCUUUUAAACUCUACCCCUCUGCAGUGGAGACAGGUAUGGUUGGUUUUUUGUGUACUUGUGUGUUAAUGGAGCUAAAUGUCAAGGAUGAGUCCUGAGAAAGGUAAUGCUUCUUUUAAGAAAUUCAGCAAUGGGGCUGGAGAGAUGGCUCAGCGGUUAAGGGCACCGACUGCUCUUCCAGAGGUCCUGAGUUCAAUUCCCAGCAACCACAUGGUGGCUCAAACCAUCUGUAAAGAGAUCCGAUGCCCUCUUCUGGUGUAUCUGAAGACAGCUACAGUGUACUUACAUAUAAUAAAUGAAUAAAUCUUAAAAAAAAAAAAAAAGAAAUUCAGCAAUGCCUUAUUUGCUUAAAUUUUCCUCUACAAACAACGUCCUUCACUCAGCCACAUUGGCUCAAACACUGCUACGGGGCAGAGCACACUACAGUGAAGAUACGUCUCCUGGUCGCCAGCAUAGAGGAAUGGAGAAGGUUCAAAGCUAAAUACCAUGUCCAUUUAAGGAACUGAAUCUGUGAAAGAAAACACACAGAAUCUGUAAUUUCAAUGUUCAGAUCCCAAGCAUUAGCAAUAAAGCGGCUCGGUUUGCCCCCCUGUGGCUCUACUGCCUCAGGAACACUCAUCCUCAGUACUUUAUAGGCCUCCUUUAACCCCAGCAGCAAGUCCUACCAGUCAGUCUCCAAAUGGUAAAAAAGUAAAAAUAAAAAAAAAUUUCUUAAGUCUAGAAGCUAUUUGGGACCUGAAUGAAGCCUUGCUAAACAGGAAUGGAAGGGCGUUGAUACAAAACAAACAAAUAAAAAGCAAACAAACAAACACACAUACACACACUCCAAAACCCUCAGGUCUCAUGUCAUUCUUGCUGGUCUUCAAGCAAUUCUGCCUCAAGCCUUAUAAACAACCAGUACCUGGAACCUGAAAUGUUUUAAGAACACAUUCUAGCUGGGUAGUGGUUCCAACACCUUUAUUCCCAGCUCUCUGUGAGCGUGCGUGUGUGUGUGUGUGUGUGUGUGUGUGUGUCCCCGUCCAUCUGUCCGUCUGUCUGUCUAAAGAUCUCUGUGAGUUCCAGGCCAGCCUGGUCUACAAAGACUGAGAGAGACCGUGACUCAAAAACAAACAAAAACAAACCAAAAAAUCAAGCUUAGCUCCCAGAGAUACAGACCAGAGCUCAGAUCUUAGCACACAAAUACACAGUAACACAAGCUAGGCAUUACUGCAAAUGUCCAACUCCAUUUCUGAAGGUUAAGAUGUGGUAACUGGGGUUUUUCACUCAUCCCCAAGUUCCUCAAAAUAACUACUGAGACUUGUUAUAUAUGAAUAAAUGCUUACAUCAUAAGCUUUGGUUUGUUCCCCAACUAGCUCAUAACUUAAUUACCUGUUUAUUCUAUUCUGUCUCCUCAGAGGUCUUGAGCAAAUCUCCUGCGCCUGACUGUUCCCGACUUAUUCUCUCCAUCUCUCCAUCUCUCCAUCUCCCUCUCCUUCUCUGCCAUAGCUCCCACCUCCGAUUUCUUGCCUCAGCUCAUUGGUCAUAGGAUUUUUUACUGUCAGGUAAAUGCUUUGACACAAUAUGAAAAGAUUUUCUCUACAUAAGACACUCUUUUGGCACACGUGUGUGCACACACACACCCAUACACAAACAUAGAACUUAGAGGACAAAGAGUUUGUAGACUCAGUUUGUAAUACACAAGCACGAGCCCGAGUUCAGAUCCAGAGCAUCCAUGUAGAAAACUGGGCAUAAUAGCGACCAACUACCUAUAUUUCUAGCGCUGGAGAACCAGAAACAAACAAAUGCCUGAAGCUUACUUGCCAGUCAGCCAACCUAACUGAAUUAAUGAAAGAUCCUGUUUCAAAAAACUAAGGUGGAGGGUCUGGGAGAUUCACCAGACAUUAGAAUACAUACCACGCUUACAGAAGACUUGAAUUUAAUUCAGCUUUAAGGCUAUCUGAACCCUCUGGCCUCUCAGGGCACCUAUACUCAAAUGCACAUAUCCAUUCAGAAAUAUACAUACAUACAAUUAAAAACAAAACUUGAAAAGAAAAGCUGUAGAUUAUAAAGGAAGGCACUUGACAUCAAUCUCUGCACUUUAUACACAUGCAUGGACUCACUCACAAACACAAUUUUAAAAUAGAGAAAUGGCAGAACAGCGUUGGUGGUUUACACCUGUAGUCUCAGCAUUCUCAGAGACUGAGGUAGGAAGACUGCUUUGACUUUAAGGCUGAUCUGGACUAUGAGGUGAAACACCAAGGAGGAAUUGGGGGUAAGAGGCUGAAGAGAUGGUUCAAUGGCUGCCACGUGGGGCUAACCAUUGUCUGUUAACUUUAGUUUCAGAGAAUCCAGUGCCCUCCCUGGCUUCCAAAGGCACUACACACAUGCAGUUCACGGACUCACUAUGUGGGUGAAACAUCUAUAGACAUAAAACAGAAAUAGGUACAUCUCUCUAGGGCUGGAGGUAACUGGUUAAAAGCUCUCCCAACAGGGACACAGAACACACCUUUAAUCCCAGCACCUAGGAGGCUGAGACAGGCCAAUCUCUGAUUUCAAGGCCAAACUGGUCUACAUAGUGAGUUCCAGGACAUCCAGAGCUAUAUAACGUGACCCUUUAACCCCUGCCCCACCAAAAACCACAAAACAAACCAACCAAAUUGAUGAGUAGCAAUUAUACAUGUAAGUUACCUUGACUCAGAAGUGUUUCUGGUCUGGUUCCCCACACAUGUAAGUCUAUCUGCAACAACAGAAAAGGUUGUUUUAUCAUAUUGGGGCUGGGCUAACAGCUAUAUUAACUACAUUUUAGGAAAGAGCACACAAAUCAUCCUCUUUACUACUUUCUCCCCCAAUAAACUGCUUUACUCAUUAUAGCAUUCAAUUUGUUUAACAUUGAAAAAUAAAAAAAUAGCCGGGCAACAGCAGUGCAUACUUUUAAUCCUAGCACUUGGGAAGCAGACAUAGGUGGGUGGAUCUGAGUUUCAGGCCAGAGUACACAGAGAAAACGUGUCUCAAAAAACCCAAAACUAACAAACCAAACAAACCCUAAGCCAUGAAAGAUAAAAACUGGAGAGCAGUCAUGGCGGUACAUACCUUUAGAAACACUGCACUCAAAUACAUUUGUAAAAUUAAAAAAAAAAAAAAAAAACUACAUAAUGCUUUAAAAAUAAAAACAACCCACUGUAUUCAGAUCUGAGUUCAGCCUGUUCUACACAGUGCUGUCUCUGAAUGAAGGGAGGGAGUAAGGAAGGAGAAAGAGGAAGGAAAGGAAAGGAAGGACGGGAGGAAAUCACAAAAACACUAAACAAUUAAACAGAGAGACAGGCACUGGCAAGAUGGCUCAGUGAGUAAAGAAACUUGCUGCUAAGCCUAAUGACCAGAGUUCAAUCCUUGGAAGCCAUAUCAGGUAGAAGAACCAACUCCCAAAAGUUGGUUCUGACCGACCUACCUACCUACCUCCCUACCUACCUACCUACCUACACACACAGAGGCAUGUACACAGCAGACUAUUCCAUUCCUGAGAAGUCACACUAGGCAAAUCCAUAGAGACAAAAAGCUCGAGUUGCCAGGGGUCAUGUAGGAAAAGUGAAAUUGUACUGAGUACCUCUAGGGCUUUCUUUUUGGGGUGACAAAAAUAUAAAAUUAAGUAGGGAGGUAGUUGUGCAAUAUUGUGGAUAUACUAAGUGCUACUAAAUCAUUCUCUUUAAAAUGCUUUAAUUUUCUAUUAUGUGAAUUCCGCCCCAAAAAAGAAAAGGUGGAGGUUGAAGUGGAAGUGGGGAACACAAGUUAAUCAGUAAAAGCAAGUUACAUCCACCUCCACAAAUCCUCUCUGAAAAGGUCCCUUAAGUACAUGCCUAAAGAACCAGUAAAUCCUUAGUCUGAAGAAAGGUCUUAACCCUGGCACCCUGAUGUUUAAUUAUUUUUUUUGUUCUUUGAGACUGAAUUUCUCUGUGAAGGCCCAGCUGUCCUGGAUGGAACUCUUAUAGACCAUGCUGGCCUUGGAACUCAAGAAAUUCUCCUGCCUCUGCCUCCCAAGCAUUUCUUUCUUUCUUGAGGGCUUUGUUUUUUUUUUUUUUCCGGAGCUGGGGACCGAACCCAGGGCCUUGCGCCCUGGUGUGUUAAAUCCCCAGCCCCUUGUUUUGUUUUUGAAACAGUUUCAUUAUGUAGCUCUGUCUAGUCUGGAACUUGCUGUACAGACUAGCCUGCCUCUACCUCCUUCCAGAAAACAAGGACUAAAGGUGUGUGCCGCCAUACCCACCAUACCCAACUUACCUGGUUUACUUUAGGUGAAGUUACUCUUUGGGAAGGGUGAGUUGUUCAGCAGCUGGCAGGUGUACAGCAGACCCAGCUUUUACUGUCUGCUACAGCAGUACCACUAGCCUAGCCAGCCCAAGGUAAGAAAGAAUUCCUCUAUAGUCAAGUGGUGGUGGGCCACAUUAGGUUGGCAAAGGCAGACAAAUCUGAGUUCAAAGUCAGCCUGGUCUACAGAGUGAGCUCCAGGACAGUCAGGGCUGAACAGAGAAACCCUGUCUCUAACCCUCCCCAAAAAGAAUCCCUCUAUAAAGUAAGUGCAUAAUUAUCCCAAUCUCUACAGAAAGCUUUUCCUAGGCAUUUUAUAAAGGGACAAAUCACAAUUUGUUCUAUCUGAAACACAGGAGUCCCUGGGGAAUUCAAGCACUCCAGUCUUUCACAAGACACUAGGUAACCACAAUUACACAAGGUGACUGUGUACAUUUGCCAAUCUUGCGGCCAUGCUACUCCUCCCUGGAAAAAGAUACUGCUUAACUGUCCCAAUAGCUCUGCCUCAAGCCAUCGCAGUUGACUUAUUUGUGGUUAAAUAAGAUCCAACUGCAGUUUCUUCCAUGGAUUAACCAGUUUGUAGCAAUCAGAACUUAGGGUAUGACUCCUAGUGCCACAGAAAGGUAAGGAAAACCUGGAAAACCAAAUUUAAUAACAUCAAAGCCACUACCCAAUAUGCUCCUAUACAGCUACACUAUCUAGUCUGUGGUACUGUGGGAAAGUGUUACAUUACAGAUGUCUAUGUGCUGACAACAUUGAGAGCCUUAUCUGCUGCCCAGUCCAUAGGAACCUUCACAGAACUAGGAGCCAUAAAGCCAGGCAGGCCGGCGAAAACAACACUGCGGAGAUACAUGUGCCAAAGACAGGCAGCAUAAAGACACAGUAAGAGACUAGUUUUUCUUUUUAGAAAGAAAGUAGCCCACUGUAGAAACUGGAAGUAAAUGGUAUAAAUUACAAAGGUUACGUUAAAAUGGCCGAGUUGUGGUUCAGGGUUAGUAUACAUAGGCCCUGGAUUCCACUUCUAACACAGACACAGACACAGACACAGACACAGACACAGACACACACACACACACACACACACACACACACACACACACACACACAC
Molecule: non-coding RNA, 20963 nt
Organism: Rattus norvegicus (Norway rat)
Lineage: Eukaryota; Metazoa; Chordata; Mammalia; Rodentia; Muridae
Source: RefSeq, a predicted model, not a curated record